CCUACGGGCGGCAGCAGUGGGGAAUAUUGCGCAAUGGGGGGAACCCUGAUGCAGCGACGCCGCGUGGGUGAAGGAGUGCUUCGGCAUGUAAAGCCCUAUCGGCAGGGAAGAAGCAAGACGGUACCUGACUAAGAAGCCCCGGCUAACUACGUGCCAGCAGCCGCGGUAAUACGUAGGGGGCGAGCGUUAUCCGGAUUCACUGGGUGUAAAGGGAGCGUAGACGGCCAUGCAAGCCAGGGGGGCAAGCCCGGGGCCCAACCCCGGGACUGCCCUUGGAACUGUGCGGCUAGAGUGCGGGAGGGGCAGGCGGAAUUGCUGGUGGAGCGGUGAAAUGCGUAGAUAUCAGGAGGAACACCGGCGGCGAAGGCGGCCUGCUGGACCGCGACUGACGUUGAGGCUCGAAAGCGUGGGGAGCGAACAGGAUUAGAUACCCGUGUAGUC
RNAcentral lists this ribosomal RNA (441 nucleotides) under uncultured bacterium. RNAcentral's name for it is "partial 16S ribosomal RNA". It matches the Rfam family "Bacterial small subunit ribosomal RNA", at positions 338 to 795 of the family's 1533-position model. The record is from RNAcentral.